This 218-nucleotide long non-coding RNA is filed under the name Nicotiana benthamiana. Its description in RNAcentral is "long non-coding RNA (NBEN_LNC035957)". Lineage: Eukaryota; Viridiplantae; Streptophyta; Magnoliopsida; Solanales; Solanaceae. The record is from RNAcentral.
UAAGGGCGAGGCAAGGUCCAAGGCAAAGUCGGGCAAAGUAUGCGCGGAUCAGUGGGACGACUUAACUCAUGGCAGGGCGUGGCUAUGAAGUUAAGGGCGAGGCAAGAUCCAAGGCUAAAGCGGGGCAAAGGCAUGUGCGGACUGGUGGGAUGACUUGAUUCAUAGCAAGGCGUGGCUAUGGAAUUAUGGGCAAGGCAAGGUCCGAGACAAAGGUUGGC